RNAcentral lists this ribosomal RNA (429 nucleotides) under uncultured bacterium. Its description in RNAcentral is "bacterial SSU rRNA". It matches the Rfam family "Bacterial small subunit ribosomal RNA", at positions 355 to 796 of the family's 1533-position model. The record is from RNAcentral.
UCGAGGAUCUUCGUCAAUGGGCGCAAGCCUGAACGAGCGACGCCGCGUGUGCGAUGAAGGCCUUCGGGUUGUAAAGCACUGUCGAGGGGGAUCAAGGGCAACUUGAGUGAUCCCUGGAGGAAGCACGGGCUAAGUUCGUGCCAGCAGCCGCGGUAAGACGAACCGUGCGAACGUUGUUCGGAAUCACUGGGCUUAAAGGGCGCGUAGGCGGCCCGCAAGGUCGGGGGUGAAAUCCCACGGCUCAACCGUGGAAGGGCCUUCGAUACCGGCGGGCUGGAGGAAGGUAGGGGUGCGCGGAACUUCUGGUGGAGCGGUGAAAUGCGUUGAUAUCAGAAGGAACGCCGGCGGCGAAAGCGGCGCACUGGACCUUUUCUGACGCUGAGGCGCGAAAGCUAGGGGAGCAAACGGGAUUAGAUACCCCCGUAGUCC